This 253-nucleotide ribosomal RNA is filed under the name uncultured bacterium. RNAcentral's name for it is "partial 16S ribosomal RNA". It matches the Rfam family "Bacterial small subunit ribosomal RNA", at positions 524 to 776 of the family's 1533-position model. The record is from RNAcentral.
UACGGAGGGUGCGAGCGUUGUCCGGAAUCAUUGGGCGUAAAGGGCGCGUAGGUGGCCCGCUCAGCGUGCGGUGAAAGCUCGGGGCUCAACCCCGAGUCGGCCGUGCGAACUGGUGGGCUGGAGCACUGUAGAGGCAGGCGGAAUUCCGGGUGUAGCGGUGGAAUGCAUAGAGAUCCGGAAGAACACCGGUGGCGAAGGCGGCCUGCUGGGCAGUUGCUGACACUGAGGCGCGACAGCGUGGGGAGCAAACAGG